This is a long non-coding RNA of Taeniopygia guttata (zebra finch), 6866 nucleotides long. The record is from Ensembl. Lineage: Eukaryota; Metazoa; Chordata; Aves; Passeriformes; Estrildidae.
GCGGAGCGAGGAGCUGACAGCAGAAGUGAGGCUUGGGAGCGGCCCGGGAAGCGCGGAGCGACGCUCUGGGUCUGGCGGCGUGCUCGGGAGCGCAGGGCUGGGCACUGCUGUUCUUCCGGUGGUGACUGAAGCUGUCCGCGUUCCUUGCACGGGAACACAUGUGAGCGCGAAAAUACAGAGCCGUCGUUGUGUUACAUCACGGGUUUUAACUGAGAAUUAAACAGCUUGGGUGGUUCUGGGGCACGUAGCUCCCUGAGAAGAGGUCUUCGUGUGGCGUGUGUCGGCUGCCUUGCAGAGUUCUUCAGACACUUGGGCGCGUGUUGCUGUUCUUUAUCCGUCGUCUGCAGAGAUCUGCGGAAGCCUCUGCUUGAUCUCUGAGGGCACGAAAAGAAUGAGAUCAGUGAGUGGGAAAGAACUGGAUCCGCCUGGGGGAUGCAGGAACAAACUGUUCUUCACACUCCGUUACGUGUCAUUAACUCGUGGGAGCACGUAGUGGUUCCCCGCGGGUGCUCGGUGCUGCUCGGCGGAGCGGCUAUGGGGCUGUGCUCUGCCCCUCCCGCAGAAAGAAAUGCAGCUUUUGGGAUUGUCCAGUCUGGUUACAAGCUUCUCUCAGUGUCCAUACCCAAGAAGGGCAUACUAAAACGUUUUUUUUUUCACUGAACACGUGUCUCUAAUGGAGCCACUAAAGGAGAAGUUUACAUGCUAGACACAUUUCUUAACUUUUUUUUUUUUUCCCCCUGGUAUUAUGCAUGGUACUGGGAGGAAAAUCCAUUGCAAUUUAUGUAAUUGGACCGGGUUGAUAAUCCAAAUGAGAUUUCCUUAUUUAGCAGCCUCUUUACGGAAGGAUCCACCUUUAUGUAGGUCGGGAAGUAAAAAAAGGCCAGGACCAGGCAUACGUCACAGCAAGUGAUUUUGCAAACUGUGUGUGAGGAAAGUUCUGUGUUUGCUGUUCUUUUGCCCUUUUGUUUAACAAAAUCCCAAUAAACGGGAUAUCUUGGUCCAGCCGUUAAACACUCUUUUGUGUAUGUAAAUAGGUAAGAUCCUACAGGAUUUCUCAGGAUUUGUACUUGAAGAUUUAUCAGUAAAGAUCCAAACCAGAAAUAUGAAAUUCAUACCUAGAGAAAAUGAGAUUGCUGCAUGGCUGACACAAGUGAAAUGAUGCAGCACUUUUCAGGGCAACAAAUGCCCAAUUUUACUAUUUAAAGGAGAAAAGUGAGUGAAUUGCCUUUUGCCAUUCCGCAUCUAAGACUGAAAGAUUAGCAGGAGGUGUGACACAGAGCAAAUGGAGGAAAACAUUUCAUUUGUUAUCUUCUAAACUUUCUUUUUCCUUUAUUUGUGAGCCCAACGGAGUAGAAACUAUGAAUAACUACACUGUAAAAUGGAUUUUAAAUAUUGGCAUCCAUUGUGCAAUGUGUCCUCUGACCAGCAUGUGGGGAUAUGCCCAUGUACUUGAAGAGAACAUUAUAUGCCCACUACAAUUUUAUACAGGGAAAAGUCACUUGGUGUAACUGGCUUAACACAUUAAAUAAAAAAUAUAUAAAGCAUGAAACAACAUACAGUGUUUCACAAAUCUCAAUUUCCUUCUGCAAUAUACAUAGCUAUUUUAUUUUAAAGAAUUAUAUUAAUCCUAACAUUAGGUUACUGUAAACUGAAUAAUUCAAGUGUGUCUUAAAAUAAAGUACAAGCCAUAUUUUUAUUCCACUUAUCAUUCUUCUUAGCAAAUUUGCUUUUUCUUUUUGUGCCAGAGAAGCCAUAUCCUACCUACCAUGCCUUAGUACCUUAUGGCAUCCCCUUUUUGGGACUGAAGGCACACAGGCAGUGUGGAGAAGAGAAUGUAUGCUGUGGUGCCUGGGCUCCCUGCCACUCAGUACAGCCCAUCCUGCACCCACCAGCACUAAACCUGCCACAAUGGGCUUCUGCAGAUGCAGGGCUCAGGGGAACUGUGGGGUGCUUGCACCUCAAAAUUCCCAUUGUCUGUUCUAAUACCUGCAAACAAAACCUUAAAGUCCAGUGAAAACAAGAAAUGUAAAUCUGCUUAACUUCAGGGAAGGAAUUUACUUCCUUGUAAGUACCUUAGCCCUAAGGGUUUCCUGUUACCAUUGCACAGUCUUCUUAUUGAUGGUCACAACAAGCAGGAAACUAUUUUCAGUUCCCCUGCCAUUAUUAAAAUAGCAGUGCUUGGCUACUGCCUGGUGAUAGCUGUCAGCACAAUUAUGGUCUUUAAAUUGUACCCCAGUUAAUCCCCCACUGAGAUAAUACAAAAAUGGGAAAAUAAUCAUAUCUAGGGUUAACUAAUAUGUCCUUUAUGUUCAAUUACUAAAAAACAUCUUUCAGUUAAUAUACAUGUUUUUGGCAUAAAACAUAAUAUACCUGUUUUGGCUACAGCAUUAUGGCAUAAAACUCUCUGUAUUAAUAACAGAGAUGCACUCUGAUCUCUGCCUCUAUUUUUUCCUGGCAACAGCCAGGACAUACUUUAUAAACUUCAAUUCCGCAUCUCAAACCCCAUUGCUUUAUACUUUGAUGUGUCACAGACUACAGAAAAUAGAAAUGGGUGUCCAGAACAGCUGAUACAUGAAAUUCGAGAUGUCAGCAUUUUGCUGUGCGAAAUUACCCACCUUUGUGUGAAGCCUGUGUGUAGAAUAUUCUUGAUUAAGACAAAGAAAAGGCUUUAGAAUGCAAAUAGGCUUACAAACAAGGGAUGGUUAGAUCCUUUUAUGCCAUUUCAGUUUUACAUUUCAUCCUUAGAGUCUCCACAGUAUCCAUGUAGAGAACUCACACACACAGAUUAUGUGUUUUAUAUGCUCUGCUACUUUAUAGCUCAGCGUGUUGUAGUUCUCUGUCUGCCCACCCUUCUAACAAACAGUUCUGGUUAGCUCAAAUGAAAAUGUGCUUACCAGUAAGACCAAUCAUUUAUUAAUUGAUGGCAACAUGCUGAAACACACUGAACAGUUUUUUACCUGUUUGUGAGCAUAAAUCACUAUAAAAAUACUAAACUGACAACAUUGCAAGUUCUGUGGUUAACUCAAGGCAUCUGAUAAAGGGAGCUGGUUAAGGGAAAACUGAGGAGACACCUUCAAAUUAAGAAAAGCAAAACCAAAAACCUGCAACCCCAUUUCCCUCAUCCUCUCAGGCCACAAACUAUAGUUGAAAUAGCCAAAGGAAAGCUCUUUUUAGGGUGAUGCAUUCAAAGAAAAUGGAAAAGCAGUGACGGGUGAGGAUGAGCCCUGGACAUGAAGUCUAUAAUGAAGGAAACGAGCUGACCUUUGUGCAGGGGAUGAAGCUCUUUCAUGCACAAACCCUUGUAUGGAUCCAGUGUCCCCUGGCCCACACAAGCUGGCACUGAGUGACUCCCCUGUGCCCUAGCAGAAUGCCAGAGGCCACACAAGUGCUGAGGCACCUGCAGGUUGGGGCUGAAGAUGCUGAACAUUUUUGAGCAUCCCACACAGAGGGAUGGGAGUGCAGCCCAUUCCUACAUGUGGCAUAUUUUCUUCCAAUUGAAGUGAUGCUUCACACUAUUACAUGUAGUUUUCUGUUAUAAAUAGAUCAGCAGGCCAGGUGCUAACUGAGCACGAAAAUUCCCAUGUAAUCUUUUGGGGUUUUUGGUUUAAGAGAUGGAUGCUGAGGCACCAGUUCCCAUGUCAUUAAACUGGGCUUUUGGUCAGGCCAAAACUGACCUUUGAUUUUUAAGAUGCAAUCCUUCAGGACUACAGUAUCAAUAAUUGAGCAGGGUGUGCCCUGCAGAGACCAGUUUGGUAACACGCUGAACCUCAGCUUAUAAAAUAGCUGCAAGUGGUGCCACAUGCUGCUGGUUCUGACAUGACACUGUGUCUUUGCACGGCAGCAUGAUGAAGCACCCUAAAAUUAGCCUUCUUACUAUUUCGUAAAGAGCAGGCAGAAAGGUAGCAGCCUGCACUGAGGAGAACAAAGAGGCACAGGAGAGGACCAGAACUGAGGCUCACACACAGCCUGGGCACAACACUUCAUGGUGAGCACUCUUGGCUUCUUCACAAAUUUCCAUGUGGGACUUUAAGGUAAUUUCUUAUCCCAAUCACAGGCUGACCUGAUUAUGAAGAAAGAAAGGUGCUUGUGUAAACAGAGGUGGGGAAGAGGGACCUGUUCUUUCAGGGGGAUUGGGAUUCAGCAGAAGGGAAAACUAACUGUGAAAAUUACAUGGAUGGUCUCUUUUAGGGGUGUGGUGAGAGUUGGCAUUAAACCUACACAAAGUUUGUUGUUACUAGAAUAUAAGUGGGAUCGGAAGAAAAAAAUAGGCUGAUGUGAAAAUCAGAAAUAACAUGAUAAAAUCCCUUUCUGUUGAGCCAGACUAUUUUGUCCUGAAACUCUGUUCUAUCCCUGCCCCAUUUACUGCGUGUUAAAGUCCUUCGCUUUACAAGGAGAAAGAUUUGAGACCAAAAAAAAAAAAAAAAAAAAAAGAAAAAGAAAAAGAAAAAGAAAAAAAAUCCAACUUCCAGGCAGUAGGAAGACAGGGGUGUGGAUGUGUUUGUGUUUGGGAACAGAAACAGUGGAGGAAAAGGUCCCAGCCCAGAACAACGCUUGCAGAUGGGGAGAGAAAAGAAACAGCAAGGAAACAUUUGAAUAUCAGAGGGCACAAGAGGCAUGCCAUGAGAGGGAUGUGAGCACUGACUGCUGGGGGACACAUGUCUCUAGGAAGCAGAGGACACCCCCCAGCAGCUGGGUGGCACAGCCUGUGGCCCCUUGCCUAAACAAUUGUCAGCACGUGCUGUUUUCUCUAUUCCUGUGGUAGCACUCUGUGAAGAAUAACUGGGAAGAAAACACUGGGGCAUAAACUGUGCCUGGUACAUUCAAAUUACAUACAGCUGUUUCUGUUAUUAGUUAUCACUCAGAAAUAUGGGACUAUUUUACAACACCGGUAUUUUUGUUCAGUAAAGAUGAUUGGACAAUACUCUGCAGCUUUUGUAAUUUAAUUUGGGACAAUAUUUAUGAUUUCACAUGUAUUACCAAAACCCAGAGCGGCAUGAUUCUAUAAGAUCUCUUUUGUGCUCUUAGCAACCAACAGGUAUUUGGUGAAGCAUGGACUGAAAUGUGUCAAAGUGGAAGUGAAUCUAUGACAUUUCUAUCAACUACAGUACAGGACCUCUCUGUUCAUAAAGGGGAUUAAAUAUUCACAGUGGUCAAAGAGUCUUAGACAGAUGGAAAACUAAACUUCUCUUGCAGAUGUUGUUAAGGAGUUCCACAGAAAUUGUAUGUGAACAUUCAGAGCUUGGAGUCCUUGAAGGACUGUAACUCUUAAUUUCCUAUAAUGUAAGUCUCAACCUUGGCAUUAGAAUUAAAAAAAAAUAUUUGGAGAUAGGAGGUGAGCUGUAUGAGCUGAGCAAUCAAAUCCUCAUAACUGUGUGAAAAAUGGAAUCACUGCUCCUCCCUACACACAAUUCCUAUGUAGAGAAACCCAGGGACUCCUCAUGUUCCCAGAGGUCUCCUAAGCCAUUAUUUACUUUAUUAAGGAGAGAAAAAUUGCCACAAAUUAGUAAUCUUUUAUUUCUUUUUUCUGACACUGGAGUGGUGCAAAGUGCUGCCAAUUUUGUUGUUGAUUUUUUAGUAUGAUUGAUUUGGAUGUUCCUAUUUCACUGCAGAAGACUUUGGGUCAGUAUUUUUGGGGUAAUGUUUCUUUGUUUAUUUGGUCUACCAGCAUAGAACAAACUGCUUCCAUUUAGAAUGUCAAGCUUGAAAGGGGAAUCCAGAGCAACUGUAUAUCUUUUGGAAGCAGAAACAGUAGAGCAGCCACUUGUGCCAAGCCUCCAUUGCAUUUAGCUGUGCCUUUUUCUUGGAUAGGAAAGGAGGCAGCAGUGAUUCAUCACCUAUGUCUGCCUGAUGAAGGCUUUCUUGCUGUUAAUGUCAGCAAGUCACCAGGACACCAAUAAAUAGGAUCACUGGUCCCAGUCAGAAAUUAUCAUUUCAGAGGCACUGGAUACUCCCCACUUUACACAUAUAUACUUACUUUCAUAGAAAAUAGUACAAAGAUAUUUUCAGCUCGUGGUCAAGCAAAAUUUUCAGCUCCAAGAGCGGCAAAAUUAUGCCUAGAAUACACAGAAUGAAUUUGAGAGGAGCCCUAGACCUUGAGAGCCUGGAAAUUUAAGUGAGAUUGUUCCUGAGACUGUCUCAGGAAAAGACAGAACAUUUCAAGAGUAUCCAACUGACACAGCAGCUUCUGUUCACCAUGGCCCAGUGGAGACCUCCAAAACCAGGAAGAUUACAGGAAAGCCAGCUUGAAACACCAAUCUCCUCAGAAAACAAUCACACAUAAUAUUUUAGCCAGUAGACUUGUCAAAGAAUAUUGUGUCCAAAUGUGAUAUAACCUCUGCAAAUACAAACAAUUCAAUACAAAUACUAUUAGGUGCUUCUAGCUUGUAGCAAACUCAGCCAGGCAAACUGUCUUUUUAACAGACAGUAUCAAUAUUACAAAUUAAAUUCCUCUGAUUAUAACUUUUCUUUUUUUUUUUUUUUUUUAAUAAAAUGAAGGAAAGGAAUGCUUAUUUGUCUGAUGAACAAGUGGUUUCUUUGUAGCAAGCAGCAUUAGUUUAAAAAUCCCUUUUCUUAGAGGCAAAGGAUGUGGUCCUUAUCAUUUUCCCUGACCUCUUCAAGUUUGAGUUUCUAAAUAGUUCAUCACCAUAAAAAACCUGUUUGUGUUGUCUUCUGUGUUUAUAAUAACCACAAGCAUUAAAAUAGUCUGUUCAUAACUAUAAUAGUCCUGCAGAAUUAUAAUGGGCAAGAACCUAGAAAUGUUCCAUUUAUAGCCAUUACAAACAAUUGUGAUUUCCAGUGUGUUGUAUCAGCAAUGACCCCUCAAGAAUCCAGUAUUUGGGAUUAAAGUGUCUGGACAUUUUCAAGUC